UUCGCUUCUGUGUCUCAUCGUGCUCAACCCCAGUGCCCGAUCUAGGGUUUCAGCCGCCGCCUCCUUUCCCCAGGGCGCCGCCGCCUCCUUCCCCAGGGCGUCGCCGCCUCCAACCUCAUCUACGUCGUCGCUGCCUCCAACCUCAACAUCGUCGCUGCGGCUUCCUUUCCCCACGGCCGCGACCGCCUCCAACCUCAUCUACGUCGUCCCCGCCUCCGUCCUCCACUCCGUUGCUGCGGUUUCCUUUCCCCACGGCUGCCGCCCCAUCCCUUCCCACAGCUGCC
Molecule: long non-coding RNA, 284 nt
Filed under: Brachypodium distachyon (stiff brome)
Lineage: Eukaryota; Viridiplantae; Streptophyta; Magnoliopsida; Poales; Poaceae
Description: long non-coding RNA (BDIS_LNC004914)
Source: RNAcentral